GAUGAACGCUGGCGGCGUGCCUAACACAUGCAAGUCGAGCGAAGCGCCUUACUUGAUUUCUUCGGGAUGAAAGUAUUGUGACUGAGCGGGCGUACGGGUGAAGGUAACGCCGUAGGUAAGUAACCUGCCUCAUACAGGGGGAUAACAGUUAGAAAUGACUGCUAAUACCGCAUAAGACCACAGCACCGCAUGGUGCAGGGGUAAAAACUCCGGUGGUAUGAGAUGGAUCCGCGUCUGAUUAGCUAGUUGGUAAGGUAACGGCUUACCAAGGCAACGAUCAGUAGCCGACCUGAGAGGGUGACCGGCCACAUUGGGACUGAGACACGGCCCAA
This 332-nucleotide ribosomal RNA is filed under the name uncultured bacterium. RNAcentral describes it as "bacterial SSU rRNA". It matches the Rfam family "Bacterial small subunit ribosomal RNA", at positions 28 to 334 of the family's 1533-position model. The record is from RNAcentral.